Photinus pyralis (common eastern firefly) is the source of this 467-nucleotide long non-coding RNA. RefSeq lists it as uncharacterized. The transcript has 3 exons. Lineage: Eukaryota; Metazoa; Arthropoda; Insecta; Coleoptera; Lampyridae. The record is from RefSeq and is a predicted model, not a curated record.
CUACAAUAUGUGGUCAACAUUUUCUCAUUAUCGUGGUGUCCUUGCGAAGUGAGACAUCAUAGCGCACUUAAUUUUGCUAAUUAAUAAAUCUUGUGGAGUUCGACUUUUUUGUAACUUAGGGCAGAAUUAGCUUUGCAGUUUGGCUCGAUUAGUCAAACUGGCACACCAAUUCUGGAUAUCAUACCCGCCACCGGUGGCGGGCAGCUCAACAAGCUCGAAAGAAAAGGAGAAACAAACCCAACUGGAGGAAGAUAAAAGGGCGGUUUCCAGAGAGCAGAGACAACUUGAGUACGAUGCCGCUGUUAAGGAACAUCAUCGAAACCAAAGGGAACAGUGGGAAAUACGACAAUUAGAUCACGAUCUCUUGCAACAGCGACAUUCGGAAAGGGAGAGAGAAAGAGAGCUUAAGGAGCAAGCGGAACAUCGACUUCUACAUGCAGACGAACAAGAGGAUUAUGAUUUGCAAU